RNAcentral lists this transfer RNA (73 nucleotides) under Atta laevigata. RNAcentral's name for it is "tRNA-Pro". The record is from RNAcentral. Lineage: Eukaryota; Metazoa; Arthropoda; Insecta; Hymenoptera; Formicidae.
CAAGAAAUAGUUUUAAAGUAGAAUAUUAAUUUUGGAGAUUAAAGGUAUAUUAUAUAAUUAAAUAUUUUUUUGA